GUUCACUUAGCAGUGCAGAGACUAACAUUGGAACAAUACAGAGAGAAGUAGCAUGACCCCUAUGCAGUGAUGACAUGCAAAUCAUGAAGCAUUCUCUAUUACA
Small nuclear RNA from Dama dama (fallow deer), 103 nucleotides. Lineage: Eukaryota; Metazoa; Chordata; Mammalia; Artiodactyla; Cervidae. The record is from RefSeq and is a predicted model, not a curated record.